Molecule: long non-coding RNA, 319 nt
Filed under: Gallus gallus (chicken)
Lineage: Eukaryota; Metazoa; Chordata; Aves; Galliformes; Phasianidae
Source: RNAcentral
CAGUAUUUGCAGCAUUUAACCCUUCCCACUUCUACGAGAUUAGUAACCAUGAUUAUGCUGGCUGUGUUCUCAUGCCAUACCAUUCUCCAAAAGUCAUAUAUUGUCUCCUGCAUUGGUCCUUGUGUAGCAAUGUAGUGAUUCGGCCUGUGAUAACCAUCAAUAUAAUUUCCAUUGAUGUAAUCGGAGUUUGUUUCUCCUUCAAUGGGCUGCAAUCUCACUCGAGAAUGAUCAUAUGCAAUGAUAUUCCCGUAUCUAUUUUUCAUUCUGUUCUCAUCUUUCUUAGCUGAAUCCCAUGGUGCAGACUGUCCUUCAAAGAAAC